This 1361-nucleotide ribosomal RNA is filed under the name uncultured bacterium. RNAcentral describes it as "bacterial SSU rRNA". It matches the Rfam family "Bacterial small subunit ribosomal RNA", at positions 28 to 1381 of the family's 1533-position model. The record is from RNAcentral.
AUUGAACGCUGGCGGCAGGCCUAACACAUGCAAGUCGAGCGGUAACACAGGGAGCUUGCUCCUGGGUGACGAGCGGCGGACGGGUGAGUAAUGUCUGGGAAACUGCCUGAUGGAGGGGGAUAACUACUGGAAACGGUAGCUAAUACCGCAUAACGUCGCAAGACCAAAGAGGGGGACCUUCGGGCCUCUUGCCAUCAGAUGUGCCCAGAUGGGAUUAGCUAGUAGGUGGGGUAACGGCUCACCUAGGCGACGAUCCCUAGCUGGUCUGAGAGGAUGACCAGCCACACUGGAACUGAGACACGGUCCAGACUCCUACGGGAGGCAGCAGUGGGGAAUAUUGCACAAUGGGCGCAAGCCUGAUGCAGCCAUGCCGCGUGUAUGAAGAAGGCCUUCGGGUUGUAAAGUACUUUCAGCGGGGAGGAAGGCGUUGAGGUUAAUAACCUCAGCGAUUGACGUUACCCGCAGAAGAAGCACCGGCUAACUCCGUGCCAGCAGCCGCGGUAAUACGGAGGGUGCAAGCGUUAAUCGGAAUUACUGGGCGUAAAGCGCACGCAGGCGGUCUGUCAAGUCGGAUGUGAAAUCCCCGGGCUCAACCUGGGAACUGCAUUCGAAACUGGCAGGCUAGAGUCUUGUAGAGGGGGGUAGAAUUCCAGGUGUAGCGGUGAAAUGCGUAGAGAUCUGGAGGAAUACCGGUGGCGAAGGCGGCCCCCUGGACAAAGACUGACGCUCAGGUGCGAAAGCGUGGGGAGCAAACAGGAUCAGAUACCCUGGUAGUCCACGCCGUAAACGAUGUCGACUUGGAGGUUGUGCCCUUGAGGCGUGGCUUCCGGAGCUAACGCGUUAAGUCGACCGCCUGGGGAGUACGGCCGCAAGGUUAAAACUCAAAUGAAUUGACGGGGGCCCGCACAAGCGGUGGAGCAUGUGGUUUAAUUCGAUGCAACGCGAAGAACCUUACCUACUCUUGACAUCCAGAGAACUUUCCAGAGAUGGAUUGGUGCCUUCGGGAACUCUGAGACAGGUGCUGCAUGGCUGUCGUCAGCUCGUGUUGUGAAAUGUUGGGUUAAGUCCCGCAACGAGCGCAACCCUUAUCCUUUGUUGCCAGCGGUUAGGCCGGGAACUCAAAGGAGACUGCCAGUGAUAAACUGGAGGAAGGUGGGGAUGACGUCAAGUCAUCAUGGCCCUUACGAGUAGGGCUACACACGUGCUACAAUGGCGCAUACAAAGAGAAGCGACCUCGCGAGAGCAAGCGGACCUCAUAAAGUGCGUCGUAGUCCGGAUUGGAGUCUGCAACUCGACUCCAUGAAGUCGGAAUCGCUAGUAAUCGUAGAUCAGAAUGCUACGGUGAAUACGUUCCCGGGCCU